RNAcentral lists this transfer RNA (72 nucleotides) under Oryctolagus cuniculus (rabbit). It matches the Rfam family "tRNA". Rfam says of the family: Transfer RNA (tRNA) molecules are approximately 80 nucleotides in length. Lineage: Eukaryota; Metazoa; Chordata; Mammalia; Lagomorpha; Leporidae. The record is from Rfam by way of RNAcentral.
GCGCAUAUAGCUCAGGGGUAGAGCAUUUUACUGCAGAUCAAGAGGUCCCUGGUUCAAAUCCAGGUGCCCCCU